This 81-nucleotide non-coding RNA is filed under the name unclassified sequences. RNAcentral describes it as "chrB RNA". It matches the Rfam family "chrB-a RNA". The record is from RNAcentral.
GGCAGGGGGUUUGCGAGCACCCCGUGAGGCGACAGCCCAAGAUUCGCGUCCAUCAACCCUCGAAUGGGAGGACGCACCAUG